RNAcentral lists this transfer RNA (227 nucleotides) under Streptococcus dysgalactiae. RNAcentral's name for it is "partial miscellaneous RNA". The stretch from base 13 to 85 matches the Rfam family "tRNA". Lineage: Bacteria; Bacillati; Bacillota; Bacilli; Lactobacillales; Streptococcaceae. The record is from RNAcentral.
GAGAGGUCUUGUGGGGCCUUAGCUCAGCUGGGAGAGCGCCUGCUUUGCACGCAGGAGGUCAGCGGUUCGAUCCCGCUAGGCUCCAUUAGGAUAGAGAUAUCCUAAAAAUUGUCCAUUGAAAAUUGAAUAUCUAUAUCAAAUUCCACGAUCAAGAAAUUGAUUGUACGAAUAGUAACAAGAAAAUAAACCGAAAACGCUGUGAAUAAUCAAGAGUUUUUCUAGUUAAG